UUCCUACGGGUGGCUGCAGUGGGGAAUAUUGGACAAUGGGCGCAAGCCUGAUCCAGCCAUGCCGCGUGAGUGAUGACGGCCUUAGGGUUGUAAAGCUCUUUUACCUGGGAAGAUAAUGACGGUACCAGGAGAAUAAGCCCCGGCUAACUUCGUGCCAGCAGCCGCGGUAAUACGAAGGGGGCUAGCGUUGUUCGGAAUCACUGGGCGUAAAGCGCACGUAGGCGGAUCUUUAAGUCAGGGGUGAAAUCCCGGAGCUCAACUCCGGAACUGCCUUUGAUACUGGGGAUCUCGAGUCCGGAAGAGGUAAGUGGAACUGCGAGUGUAGAGGUGAAAUUCGUAGAUAUUCGCAAGAACACCAGUGGCGAAGGCGGCUUACUGGUCCGGUACUGACGCUGAGGUGCGAAAGCGUGGGGAGCAAACAGGAUUAGAUACCCUAGUAGUC
Molecule: ribosomal RNA, 442 nt
Filed under: uncultured Hyphomicrobiales bacterium
Lineage: Bacteria; Pseudomonadati; Pseudomonadota; Alphaproteobacteria; Hyphomicrobiales
Description: bacterial SSU rRNA
Rfam family: Bacterial small subunit ribosomal RNA
Source: RNAcentral